Fusarium oxysporum f. sp. cubense is the source of this 93-nucleotide transfer RNA. It matches the Rfam family "tRNA". From Rfam's summary of the family: Transfer RNA (tRNA) molecules are approximately 80 nucleotides in length. Lineage: Eukaryota; Fungi; Ascomycota; Sordariomycetes; Hypocreales; Nectriaceae. The record is from Rfam.
GCGGGUUUAGCUCAGUUGGGAGAGCGUCAGACUGAAGUUAAACUUCAAUCAACCGAUAUCUGAAGGUCGUGUGUUCGAUCCACACAAACCGCA